UAACCCAGAUCGCGGGUGCCGGCGGAGCGCCGAUAUCGUGUCUCACUGCAGUCCCGUGCCGUCCGUUGUCUGGGUGAUUUCUUGUCGUCUCGAUUCUCGCGCGGUACACGCCCCCACCCGGCUUUCGGGCACCACGUUCACGGAGAUUCUCGGCGAAGGUGAGUGUAGUCGAGGUGCCGGUCAAGGAGACGCGCGCCCUCAUGUCGAUUCACCACGAGCGAUUGUUGUUCAAGGAGUGCCUCCAGUGCUUUCGUCUCGCUUGCCUUACUUUUCAACGCGAUACUUGUUUUCCUGGUCAUCCUCAUGUGUACACGUGUAUGUAUGGAAGAUUAUAUGGUAUAAUAAAUAAAACGCUAUCUGCAUGAAUUAUCAGUGACAGCAUUUAUUAAAUUUGGAUAAAGAUUUUAUGUCCAUCUUACGGAAGUGCCAUCAGAAAACCUCAAACGUGGACAGAUUACGAUGUGUUCAAGUCAUAAUUACUCUUGACUUAAGUAUAAACAGUGUGGUUUGUGACUACAGUCGAAAGAAAAAAGUAUAUACAUUAGAGAAAAGAAAGGACAAGACAGUACAUAGAGCGUCAAAUAGUUUUAGAGAGAUCAACGCAGGAC
Molecule: long non-coding RNA, 608 nt
Organism: Ceratosolen solmsi marchali
Lineage: Eukaryota; Metazoa; Arthropoda; Insecta; Hymenoptera; Agaonidae
Exons: 3
Source: RefSeq, a predicted model, not a curated record